CCCGCUGAACUUAAGCAUAUCAAUAAGCGGAGGAAAAGAAACCAACAGGGAUUGCCCUAGUAACGGCGAGUGAAGCGGCAACAGCUCAAAUUUGAAAUCUGGCUCUUUUAGAGUCCGAGUUGUAAUUUGCAGAGGGCGCUUUGGCGUUAGCAGCGGUCCAAGUUCCUUGGAACAGGUCGUCACAGAGGGUGAGAAUCCCGUACGUGGUCGCUAGUUUUCGCCGUGUAAAGCCCCUUCGACGAGUCGAGUUGCUUGGGAAUGCAGCUCUAAAUGGGAGGUAAAUUUCUUCUAAAGCUAAAUACUGGCCAGAGACCGAUAGCGCACAAGUAGAGUGAUCGAAAGAUGAAAAGCACUUUGGAAAGAGAGUCAAAUAGCACGUGAAAUUGUUGAAAGGGAAGCGCUUGCAGCCAGACUUGCCUGCAGUUGCUCAUCCGGGCUUUUGCCCGGUGCAUUCUUCUGUAGGCAGGCCAGCAUCAGUUUGGGCGGUUGGAUAAAGGUCUCUGUCACGUACCUCCUUUCGGGGAGGCCUUAUAGGGGAGGCGACAUGCAACCAGCCUGGACUGAGGUCCGCGCAUCUGCUAGGAUGCUGGCGUAAUGGCUGUAAGCGGCCCGUCUUGAAACACGG
This 625-nucleotide ribosomal RNA is filed under the name uncultured fungus. Its description in RNAcentral is "eukaryotic LSU rRNA". It matches the Rfam family "Eukaryotic large subunit ribosomal RNA", at positions 24 to 664 of the family's 3401-position model. The record is from RNAcentral. Lineage: Eukaryota; Fungi.